Molecule: long non-coding RNA, 1459 nt
Filed under: Felis catus (domestic cat)
Lineage: Eukaryota; Metazoa; Chordata; Mammalia; Carnivora; Felidae
Description: lncRNA (ENSFCAG00000049151.1)
Source: RNAcentral
GUGCUUCCCUCCCUCCUGCUCCCUUUCCCACCCUUCCCGGUGGAUGGUGGACGUGUGGCUUGUGUUCUGGGGAGAGAGGAAGCAGCCGGCAUUUGCCAGCCUGGCAGGUGGUAGCCCCUUGUGCCGUGGGAGGGAAGCCUGGAUGAGGGUGGGAGUCGGGGCUGGAAGGCCCAUGUCCCAGACAGCCUGCAUUCCUAAUGUGAGGGCUUAGAGCAAAGGGGUUUGACUGCUCCAGGGUGAGGAGAGAAAAGGUUGUGCAGUCCUAGACAGUGGUGAGCAGGGCAGGCCCGGACAGGACACUGAAGUGCAUGGUGUGAACAUGACAGGUGUUCAACGAGAGAGAGAGACAGAGACAGAGACAGAGAGAACACCAUCCUGGGGCCUGGGAGGCAGGAAAGAGACUCCGACCGCAGACGAGCACCGCGAUGUCCGGGUAGGGGAAGCUCCGCCCUUCCGCACCCCAUUUCUUUUGCCUCUCUGUGCCUUGGAGGCCCAGAGUAGGGCUGAGGUGUGGGGAGGUGCCAACAGUCCGCAAGUCACGAGGUAAACCCCAGCUUGGCCACUUGCCUGGCAGGGGCCCCACAGAAGUCCCUGCAUAUGAAUAGGUGCUUGUCCAAAUUCAUUCCAGCAGCAGCGCCUAUGGACGGGGAGGACAGGAGGAGCAGCCAUGGGGUGUGUGAGGAAGACAGAGCCCCGUCUCCAGGGAGCUGGAAACUUCCCGCAGGCACCACCAUGUGGGACCAGUUCACUGCUGGGAUCAGCAGACCCCUACGUUCCUGCUCUGCUGGAAGGAGGGCGCCCUGCCCGGUUUCCUCCCCGUGAGUGCCAAAUGACACUUUCAGAAAGUCCUGGGAUCUCAGCCGUGGGCAUUCGGGCCAGCUCUGCAUCCCAAAUCCUCCAGAAGCGCACAGGUAAGACACUUAACGAAUUCCCUCCUCUGUCUCUCUUCUAGGAGCCCAAACGGACAAACCCAGGCCUUGGUCCAGGAAAGCUGCUCUCCUCACACAUUUGCCGCUCUGACCCAUCUCCCCACUUUCUCACUGACUCCUCGUGUUCUCACAACUUGUCGGCCCUGGUGCCUGUGUGAGGUAUAAUCCUCACCUGCCUCCUCCCUGGGUCCCCGCUUGCCCUGUGGCCCAGACCUCUGGAGCACAUCCCUGGCCCAGCCACUGAUGCAGCCUUUAAUCUCACUGGGUGCUCUUCGCGCGCUCAGCCAGGGAGGCUGCUACCUGCGCAAGUGGCCGUGACACCCAUUGUGCGGGAGACAGCACCCCAGGGCUGGGUUUUAUGGAGGCCUGAUGAUCCCAGGAACCCAAGUCCUGGCUGAACUGGCGUUGACCACAUGGGCUUAGGCUCUUGGGGACAAGGGCUUCUGGGUCACACCUAGAACACAGGAACGUGCCAUGCCAGCAUCAGGUCAGCCAACAAAUGCAACUCAUCUGAAGGGACUGUUAAUGAC